Molecule: transfer RNA, 65 nt
Filed under: Auplopus sp. SJW-2017
Lineage: Eukaryota; Metazoa; Arthropoda; Insecta; Hymenoptera; Pompilidae
Description: tRNA-Ile
Source: RNAcentral
AGUAAUAUGCCUGAUUAAAGGAUUAUCUUGAUAGGGUAAAUUAAAUGAUUUUUUCAUUAUUACUA